RNAcentral lists this ribosomal RNA (393 nucleotides) under uncultured bacterium. RNAcentral's name for it is "partial 16S ribosomal RNA". It matches the Rfam family "Bacterial small subunit ribosomal RNA", at positions 523 to 918 of the family's 1533-position model. The record is from RNAcentral.
AUACGGUGGAUGCAAGCGUUACCCGUAUUUCUUGGGUUUAAAGGGUGCGUAGGCGGAUGAUUAAGCGUGAGGUGAAAUGCCACUGCUCAACAGUGGAACUGCCUCGCGAACUGGUUGUCUUGAAUGCUCCUGCCGAGUGAGGAAUGUGUGGUGUAGCGGUGAAAUGCAUAGAGAUCACACAGAACACCGAUUGCGAAGGCAUCUCACGAAGGGGUGAUUGACGCUGAGGCACGAAAGCGUGGGGAUCAAACAGGAUUAGAUACCCUGGUAGUCCACGCAGUAAACGAUGAUGGCUAACCGCUGGGCUUAUCAGUUCAGUGGCCAAGCGAAAGCGAUAAGCCAUCCACCUGGGGAGUACGACCGCAAGGUUGAAACUCAAAUGAAUUGGCGGGG